Molecule: long non-coding RNA, 1092 nt
Filed under: Apteryx rowi (Okarito brown kiwi)
Lineage: Eukaryota; Metazoa; Chordata; Aves; Apterygiformes; Apterygidae
Description: lncRNA (ENSARWG00000003264.1)
Source: RNAcentral
AUGAUGUCAGCAGCUAAUCAAGUAGCUGCAUCCUCCCUGUGGCGGCAGUCUCCCCUGGGCACUGCUGGUGGUGCGAGGCAUGGCGAGAUCCAUCCGGCUUGGCGAGAUCUGGCGCAUGAUCUGGUUCCUGGGUUGCAGAGGGCUGCGGGAAGCCUGCUGCGGGGCCCGUCUCCCUGCGCUGCCCCACAUUUGAAUCUCGAGUGGGUGCCCCCGCCUGUCCCCACGCCCCCACGUGCGGCUGAGCGCUGCAUCCUGGGGCCGUUCGUGCACUGGCUGCGUUAUCCCUUCACUUCGGCUUUCUCAGUUUCGCUCCUGCCGGCUGCGAGAGCCAGUGACGCACUCGAGCAGCGCUCACGCAGCACCCGAGAACAGGCAUCCUGUUUCCAAAACAGCCAGCGCAGCCCUGCUGCUUUCAGCAUCCAUGUUCCCAAGGGGAAACAGAGGGAGCUUGAGAGCCAGGAGCAAAAGGGGAGGAAAUGGGAGGGUGGGGAUUUUCUCUCUUUCCCCCCCCCCCCCCCAAAGAGUAUCAAAAUGAGACAAUUUGGAGUGCAGCUAGGAAGGAAUAGUACAACGUGGCCCCCAAACCUGCGAAGAUUUGGGGCAGCACUGGGUCACUGGGGUGUCCUGCGGAGCAGCCGGUGCUCAGGCUGCAGUGCACAGGUGCAGCGUGUGGUUGUGCAGCCUCCUGGUGGUUUCCUGGUGCUGCAAGCCAGCCAAGGUAGGGGACCAGCCAGGAAGCCCAUCGCUGCUGCCAGGCGUCCCUCUGUCCCACGCAGGAUCCCCUCCCCUUUCGUGGAGAUGCCCAGGGAAACACAAAAUGCAGGGCUUGCUUUAUGGUUUUUGAGCUCAAUGUUCAGCCUUAAAAAUAAAUCAGUGCGAGGCAGAUGCCAGCUGGGGAAUGUUUCAUCAGGGCUGGGUGGGAUGGGUGUUGCAGUAGAAACUCUCACAUCCCUCGUGCAGGCAGCACUGGUGGCAGCAGCGGGCACAAACGCUGCCGGCUGGCGCAAGCCGCACGCCCUCCGUGUAUGGAAACUGCUGUGCAUCUCGCAGGGCAGCGGCGCUCUCCAGCCCGACACGGUCCGUGUGGUUUAG